Callithrix jacchus (white-tufted-ear marmoset) is the source of this 117-nucleotide non-coding RNA. The record is from Rfam. NCBI's taxonomy places the organism in Eukaryota, Metazoa, Chordata, Mammalia, Primates, Cebidae.
GCCGGGCACGGUGGCUCAUGCCUGUAAUCCCAGCACUUUGGGAGGCCGAGGUGGGUGGAUCACCUGAGGUCAGGAGUUUGAGACCAUCCUGACCAAUAUGGUGACAUCCCAUCUCUA